This 365-nucleotide ribosomal RNA is filed under the name uncultured bacterium. RNAcentral describes it as "bacterial SSU rRNA". It matches the Rfam family "Bacterial small subunit ribosomal RNA", at positions 338 to 718 of the family's 1533-position model. The record is from RNAcentral.
CCUACGGGAGGCAGCAGUGGGGAAUAUUGGACAAUGGGCGCAAGCCUGAUCCAGCCAUGCCGCGUGAGUGAUGAAGGCCUUAGGGUUGUAAAGCUCUUUUACCCGGGAAGAUAAUGACGGUACCGGGAGAAUAAGCCCCGGCUAACUUCGUGCCAGCAGCCGCGGUAAUACGAAGGGGGCUAGCGUUGUUCGGAUUUACUGGGCGUAAAGCGCACGUAGGCGGAUCUUUAAGUCAGAGGUGAAAUCCCAGGGCUCAACCCUGGAACUGCCUUUGAUACUGGGGAUCUCGAGUCCGGGAGAGGUGAGUGGAACCUGCGAGUGUAGAGGUGAAAUUCGUAGAUAUUCGCAAGACNCAGUGNGAGCGC